GCUAAGUCUUCACCACAGCCUCACCAGUCAAGUCUCAGUGCCAGUACUGAAGGGGGGUGAAAAUAUUGGCCCUGAGCAGUGAAGCACCCACUGAUAAGGGAAAAAAAGUACUUCGAUUAAGAGAGAGACAAAAAGAAGAGCCACAGAUUGGAUGAAGAAGUCUUAAAUCAGAGGCAGAGCCAAGAUGACAACUUGGAGACAACACCUGGUGUUCCGGAUGCCAGCAAGAUGCCGACCAGAUUUCCCUGGACUGACGACCCCACCAAUGUGUCCUGGAGCUCUGCUUCCCCAGAAACCCACCCUACUAGGGAAAGAGAGAGGCAUACUGGGAGUAUGGAUGGACCAGUCAAUGCCCAUGUUCAGCAGGGAAGCAAUUACAGAAGCCAGACCUUCCACCUUCUGCAACCCACAAGGACCCUGGAUCCAUACUCCCAGAGGGAUAAAAAAUGGGAAAGCUAUCAGGGGAGGGGAUGGGAUAUGGAGAUUGGGUGGUAGAAAUUGUGUGGAACUGUACCCCUCUUAUCCUACUGUUUUGUUAAUGUCUCCUUUCUUAAAUAAAAAAUAAAUAAAUAAAGUUGAAGGGUAUUGAAUAAACUUAUAGCAAAAAAAAAAAAAGAAGCAAAACCAAACAAAAACAACAGCAACACAAACCAGUAACACCACUAAGAAAAACCAAAUAAAAAACCAAACCAAAACAAAAAUCCAGAUUCCCAAAACAAAACAGCAAAAACAAAACAAGAGAAGAAGAAGAAGAAGAAGUAGAAGAAGAAGGAGAAGAAGAAAAUAAACAAGCAACAACAACAAAAACAACCAACCACUGCAAACAGGAGUAUACACACAGAGCCAGAGAAAGAAUUAGCAAGCUAACAGAAUAUGUAUAUGCUCACAGUUGGGGAGGAUGUUUGAUUGAUGAGGCUUCCCAGAGUUUCUAUUUUUGCAGUUUUCUGCUGCAGUAGUGAAUGACAGAUUGAGUUGAAGGGAUAUCUGCCUGGUUGCCUCAGUGGGCAGACUGGUCAGCCUGUCAGGUUGCUCAGUGCUAUCUGCGUUCAGUUCAAGUCAAGGAAGGUCACAGGCAUACUC
This is a long non-coding RNA of Erinaceus europaeus (western European hedgehog), 1080 nucleotides long. RefSeq lists it as uncharacterized. NCBI's taxonomy places the organism in Eukaryota, Metazoa, Chordata, Mammalia, Eulipotyphla, Erinaceidae. The transcript has 3 exons. The record is from RefSeq and is a predicted model, not a curated record.